GACGAACGCUGGCGGCGUGCUUAACACAUGCAAGUCGAACGGAAAGGCCCUGCUUUUGUGGGGUGCUCGAGUGGCGAACGGGUGAGUAACACGUGAGUAACCUGCCCUUGACUUUGGGAUAACUUCAGGAAACUGGGGCUAAUACCGGAUAGGAGCUCCUGCUGCAUGGUGGGGGUUGGAAAGUUUCGGCGGUUGGGGAUGGACUCGCGGCUUAUCAGCUUGUUGGUGGGGUAGUGGCUUACCAAGGCUUUGACGGGUAGCCGGCCUGAGAGGGUGACCGGCCACGUGGGGUGUGAGGCGCCGAGGCGCCUGCGGCGGGGGGAAGGAGGGGGAAAUAGGCGCGAGGGGGGGGAACGCGGAGGCGGAAAGGGCGGGUGGGGGGUGUCGGCGUGCGGUUGGUAGCCCGCAUGCGCCGGGGACGGGGGGGGGGAGGGGGUAAGGGGGAGAUAAGACCCUGCAAACGCUGGGACAGCGGCCGUGGGAAUAGUAGGAAACGAACACGUCUGAGU
This 509-nucleotide ribosomal RNA is filed under the name uncultured bacterium. RNAcentral describes it as "partial 16S ribosomal RNA". The stretch from base 20 to 332 matches the Rfam family "Bacterial small subunit ribosomal RNA", at positions 47 to 358 of the family's 1533-position model. The record is from RNAcentral.